UGAACCUCGGAUCAGGUAGGAAUACCCGCUGAACUUAAGCAUAUCAA
RNAcentral lists this ribosomal RNA (47 nucleotides) under Atractium stilbaster. Its description in RNAcentral is "partial 28S ribosomal RNA". Lineage: Eukaryota; Fungi; Ascomycota; Sordariomycetes; Hypocreales; Nectriaceae. The record is from RNAcentral.